AAUACGUUUUUGUUUCCAAAGAAGACCUCAGCAGUGACAUCAUGGUCGACUGCUGAUAUUAAAACCGAUUUGCAAAGUCUUAAAGAAAAGGCACUAACUUUGCAACAUGAAAUUAUGCUUAGAGAUUCUUAAUGCUCUAUUUUUUCAUUGCAUUCUCAAUAUUGGAAGUCUUAUUAAAGUGAUAGUGAGAUUUUUUUUUUAUUUUUAUUAUUUCUAGCACAGAAGCGAUGAAUGCUGCAUAAUUAAGUACAGUAUUUAAUUUGGCUGUUGUGAAGCAAAAGAAUAAGGUAAUAAUUUUUAUUGUACUAAUCAGACUCAAGAUGUUCUCUGUGUUAAUUGGGUUAAAAAAAUUGCAGUACUUAUUAGAAAUUCUAAUUUCACAAUGCAGCACUGACAAUAAGCUCAGCCAGUGAAUUAUUCACAUCUUUAAUUUGCUCUCUUAAUGACAGUGUUCUGUAAUCAGAGUGCAGAGACUGCUUCCUAUGCAUUAUGUAUGAUGUUCAGGACUUAAAUGCAGGACAUUAUGAAGCCUCUCAGUGGCUCAGUAAUUAGUUUUCCACAAGACAGGGCUUAGAUAUUCACAGAUAAAAGUCUACAGUUGAGAUAAUGUUAAGGUGGUGACUCAUGCUAACAAAAGCAGGGAAGUUCAAAUUUAAUGCUGAAACUACUCUCCAUUCUCACUCAUUGUGCUUAGGUGCAGGGGGAGGGGAAGAAAGUCUCCAAAACCAGCCCGGGAUGAGCAAUGAACAUAAGGCUGUUACUAUCAGCACUGGUGUAUUUGCAGCGAUGCCUAUCAACAUCCACCAGAGAGCAGGGCAGCUCCAAAACCCACAUCUUUCAUGCUGUGGAAAUUGAUGGAGACAGCAACACAGCCAGCUUCUUGGCCAAACAACAUGGAAUGCAGUUCAUUUCAAAGGUCAGCGCAUAUUUAAACUUGCUUCAUUACUCCCACCUUUAUGCUUGAGAUUUUCAUUUUUUUAAAAUCAGUUUACCUAGAGGUUCCUUUAGAGACAGAAAAAUG
RNAcentral lists this long non-coding RNA (1021 nucleotides) under Anas platyrhynchos platyrhynchos (common mallard). Its description in RNAcentral is "lncRNA (ENSAPLG00000025239.1)". The record is from RNAcentral. Lineage: Eukaryota; Metazoa; Chordata; Aves; Anseriformes; Anatidae.